Regulatory RNA element from Domibacillus iocasae, 121 nucleotides. It matches the Rfam family "PyrR binding site". From Rfam's summary of the family: This family represents the PyrR binding site and terminator structure. This RNA structure is found upstream of a variety of genes involved in pyrimidine biosynthesis and transport. The record is from Rfam. Lineage: Bacteria; Bacillati; Bacillota; Bacilli; Caryophanales; Bacillaceae.
AGAACCUUUAAGAACAGUCCCGUGAGGCUGGGAAGGGAUCGGACAUAAUACGGUACACGUGUAUCGUUUUAAGGGAUCAGUAUGCCUUCUCACCAGUAUCGGGUGAGGAGGCUUUUUUCAU